AAGAAAGUGCCUGAAUUUAAAGGGUUAUUUUGAUAGAGUAGAUUAUACAGUUUUCUGUCUUUCUUA
Molecule: transfer RNA, 66 nt
Filed under: Dicyrtomina saundersi
Lineage: Eukaryota; Metazoa; Arthropoda; Collembola; Symphypleona; Dicyrtomidae
Description: tRNA-Ile
Source: RNAcentral